Molecule: ribosomal RNA, 253 nt
Filed under: uncultured bacterium
Lineage: Bacteria
Description: partial 16S ribosomal RNA
Rfam family: Bacterial small subunit ribosomal RNA
Source: RNAcentral
UACGGAGGGGGCAAGCGUUGUUCGGAAUUACUGGGCGUAAAGGGCGCGUAGGCGGCCUGUUAAGUCGGACGUGAAAUCCCUCGGCUCAACCGGGGAACUGCGUCUGAUACUGGCGGGCUUGAAUUCGGGAGAGGGAUGUGGAAUUCCAGGUGUAGCGGUGAAAUGCGUAGAUAUCUGGAGGAACACCGGUGGCGAAGGCGGCAUCCUGGACCGACAUUGACGCUGAGGCGCGAAAGCCAGGGGAGCAAACGGG